Trametes versicolor FP-101664 SS1 is the source of this 84-nucleotide non-coding RNA. The record is from the annotation of a RefSeq genome assembly. NCBI's taxonomy places the organism in Eukaryota, Fungi, Basidiomycota, Agaricomycetes, Polyporales, Polyporaceae.
UCUCUGUUAGUAUAUCGGUUAGUACACGCGCCUGUCAUUCAACACUGGCCGCGCGAAAGCGGGGUUCGACUCCCCGACAGAGAG